UGACUCUCGACAACGGAUAUCUCGGCUCUCGCAUCGAUGAAGAACGUAGCGAAAUGCGAUACUUGGUGUGAAUUGCAGAAUCCCGUGAACCAUCGAGUCUUUGAACGCAAGUUGCGCCCGAAGCCAUCAGGCCGAGGGCACGUCUGCCUGGGUGUCACGCAUUGACUUGCCA
RNAcentral lists this ribosomal RNA (172 nucleotides) under Lefebvrea grantii. RNAcentral describes it as "5.8S ribosomal RNA". It matches the Rfam family "5.8S ribosomal RNA". Rfam says of the family: 5.8S ribosomal RNA (5.8S rRNA) is a component of the large subunit of the eukaryotic ribosome. It is transcribed by RNA polymerase I as part of the 45S precursor that also contains 18S and 28S rRNA. Functionally, it is thought that 5.8S rRNA may be involved in ribosome translocation. Lineage: Eukaryota; Viridiplantae; Streptophyta; Magnoliopsida; Apiales; Apiaceae. The record is from RNAcentral.